Molecule: long non-coding RNA, 573 nt
Filed under: Elaeis guineensis (African oil palm)
Lineage: Eukaryota; Viridiplantae; Streptophyta; Magnoliopsida; Arecales; Arecaceae
Description: long non-coding RNA (EGUI_LNC078845)
Source: RNAcentral
UUUGUUAUGGAGAGUGGAGUGAUGUCCGUUGUCGCGACUUGCCAAAGAGUAGUGGGGCCACGUGGAAUCUGUUACAGAAAGUGGAGUGGGGUAGUGGCCAUUGUCGUGACUUGCCAGAGAGUUCGGGCCUGACGGCUGAAGCUCGACUGGGACGUCUGAUGGAGCGGAAUGGCUCUCUGUCUCUGCAAUCUAAGAGAAGCUCGGAUGUUUCCGAGGUUGCUGAUGAAUCCACUGUUGUCAGGUGCCUUGGGCGCUGAUGCUACAGACGGAAAUCAUCUGCUGUAGAAGCUCGGAUGGAGACUUUCUGUUCGAAAAGUCCGGUAAGAGUCCAAUUGCUAGGAGAGCCCGUCUGGGAUUUGCCUGAUGUGGAAGCUCGUCUGUAGAUUGUCCACCGGAGAGGUCCGGUUUCAUGAGGAAUCCGGCAGAGGGUCGUCCGACAGUGGAGUUCGGAUGGCGCUGUGGAGGUUCGUCCGCUAGAGGAGUCUUGAGGACAUCAGGGAAGGUCGAACGUUGGAGGAGUCCGAGAUUCAAUUCUGUCAUAGAAGUUCAGACGGAGUCCGGCUCUUGUAGAAG